RNAcentral lists this ribosomal RNA (488 nucleotides) under uncultured bacterium. RNAcentral describes it as "partial 16S ribosomal RNA". It matches the Rfam family "Bacterial small subunit ribosomal RNA", at positions 28 to 507 of the family's 1533-position model. The record is from RNAcentral.
GACGAACGCUGGCGGCGUGCUUAACACAUGCAAGUCGAACGGAAAGGCCCUGCUUUUGUGGGGUGCUCGAGUGGCGAACGGGUGAGUAACACGUGAGUAACCUGCCCUUGACUUUGGGAUAACUUCAGGAAACUGGGGCUAAUACCGGAUAGGAGCUCCUGCUGCAUGGUGGGGGUUGGAAAGUUUCGGCGGUUGGGGAUGGACUCGCGGCUUAUCAGCUUGUUGGUGGGGUAGUGGCUUACCAAGGCUUUGACGGGUAGCCGGCCUGUGAGGGUGACCGGCCACACUGGAUGGGAGACGGCGUCCGGGCGCCUACGGGAGGCAGCAGCAGGGAAUCGGCCGCAAUGGGCGAAAGCCGGACGGAGACACGCCGCGUGAGAGAGGAAGGUCGCCGGAGCGGAAAGGUCUGGGACGAGGGAAGAACAAAGGUGGAAGGAAAGAUGCACGUAGGGACGGUACGUAAUCAGAAAGCAACGGCUAACUACGUG